GACGAACGCUGGCGGCGUGCCUAAUACAUGCAAGUAGAACGCUGAAGGAGGAGCUUGCUUCUCUGGAUGAGUUGCGAACGGGUGAGUAACGCGUAGGUAACCUGCCUGGUAGCGGGGGAUAACUAUUGGAAACGAUAGCUAAUACCGCAUAAUAGUAGAUGUUGCAUGACAUUUACUUAAAAGGUGCAAUUGCAUCACUACCAGAUGGACCUGCGUUGUAUUAGCUAGUUGGUGGGGUAACGGCUCACCAAGGCGACGAUACAUAGCCGACCUGAGAGGGUGAUCGGCCACAAUGGGACUGAGACACGGCCCAGACUCCUACGGGCGGCAGCAGUAGGGAAUCUUCGGCAAUGGACGAAAGUCUGACCGAGCAACGCCGCGUGAGUGAAGAAGGGUUUCGGAUCGUAAAGCUCUGUUGUAAGAGAAGAACGAGUGUGAGAGUGGAAAGUUCACACUGUGACGGUAUCUUACCAGAAAGAGACGGCUAACUACGUG
RNAcentral lists this ribosomal RNA (495 nucleotides) under uncultured bacterium. Its description in RNAcentral is "partial 16S ribosomal RNA". It matches the Rfam family "Bacterial small subunit ribosomal RNA", at positions 28 to 507 of the family's 1533-position model. The record is from RNAcentral.